CCUACGGGAGGCUGCAGUGGGGAAUAUUGGGCAAUGGGCGAAAGCCUGACCCAGCAACGCCGCGUGAAGGAAGAAGGCUUUCGGGUUGUAAACUUCUUUUGACAGGGAAGAGCAGAAGACGGUACCUGUCGAAUAAGCCACGGCUAACUACGUGCCAGCAGCCGCGGUAAUACGUAGGUGGCAAGCGGUGUCCGGAUUUACUGGGUGUAAAGGGCGUGUAGCCGGGCUGACAAGUCAGAUGUGAAAUCCGGGGGCUCAACCCCCGAACUGCAUUUGAAACUGUUGGUCUUGAGUAUGGGAGGGGUAAGCGGAAUUCCUGGUGUAGCGGUGAAAUGCGUAGAUAUCAGGAGGAACACCGGUGGCGAAGGCGGCUUACUGGACCAUAACUGACGUUGAGGCUCGAAAGCGUGGGGAGCGAACAGGAUUAGAUACCCUUGUAGUC
RNAcentral lists this ribosomal RNA (442 nucleotides) under uncultured bacterium. Its description in RNAcentral is "partial 16S ribosomal RNA". It matches the Rfam family "Bacterial small subunit ribosomal RNA", at positions 338 to 795 of the family's 1533-position model. The record is from RNAcentral.